GAUGAACGCUAGCGGCAGGCUUAACACAUGCAAGUCGAGGGAGCAGCGGGUAGGAGGUAGCAAUAACCACCUUGCCGGCGACCGGCGGAAGGGUGCGUAACGCGUGAGCAACCUGCCCGUCACUGGGGAAUAACCGUUGGAAACGACGACUAAUACCCCAUAGUUCUGGAGGACGGCAUCUCCCGAUCAAGGUAAAGAGAUUCGGUGACGGAUGGGCUCGCGUGACAUUAGC
This 232-nucleotide ribosomal RNA is filed under the name uncultured bacterium. Its description in RNAcentral is "partial 16S ribosomal RNA". It matches the Rfam family "Bacterial small subunit ribosomal RNA", at positions 28 to 245 of the family's 1533-position model. The record is from RNAcentral.